Molecule: ribosomal RNA, 460 nt
Filed under: uncultured bacterium
Lineage: Bacteria
Description: partial 16S ribosomal RNA
Rfam family: Bacterial small subunit ribosomal RNA
Source: RNAcentral
CCUACGGGUGGCAGCAGUGAGGAAUAUUGGUCAAUGGACGAGAGUCUGAACCAGCGCAGUAGCGUGAAGGAUGACUGCCCUAUGGGUUGAAAACUUCUUUUAUAUGGGAAUAAAACAGGGUAUGCAUACCCUCUUGUAUGUACCAUAUGAAUAAGGAUAGGAUAACUCCGUGCCAGCAGCCGCGGUAAUACGGAGGAUACGAGCGGUAUCCGGAGUUAAUGGGUUUAAAGGGAACGUAGGUGGAUUGUUAAGUCAGUUGUGAAAGUUUGCGGCUCAACCGUAAAAUUGCAUUUGAAACUGGCAGUCUGGAGUACAUUAGAGGUGGGCGGAAUUCGUGGUGUAGCGGUGAAAUGCUUAGAUAUCACGAAGAACUCCGAUGGCGAAGGCAGCUCACUGGACUGCAACUGACACUGAUGCUCGAAAGUGUGGGUAUCAAACAGGAUUAGAUACCCCUGUAGUC